RNAcentral lists this unclassified non-coding RNA (333 nucleotides) under soil metagenome. RNAcentral describes it as "partial contains 5.8S ribosomal RNA, internal transcribed spacer 2, and large subunit ribosomal RNA". The stretch from base 1 to 120 matches the Rfam family "5.8S ribosomal RNA", at positions 35 to 154 of the family's 154-position model. The record is from RNAcentral.
GAUGAAGAACGUAGCAAAAUGCGAUAAGUAAUGUGAAUUGCAGAAUUCAGUGAAUCAUCGAAUCUUUGAACGCACAUUGCGCCCGCCAGUAUUCUGGCGGGCAUGCCUGUUCGAGCGUCAUUUCAACCCUCAAGCUCAGCUUGGUGUUGGGACUCGCGGUAACCCGCGUUCCCCAAAUCGAUUGGCGGUCACGUCGAGCUUCCAUAGCGUAGUAAUCAUACACCUCGUUACUGGUAAUCGUCGCGGCCACGCCGUAAAACCCCGACUUCUGAAUGUUGACCUCGGAUCAGGUAGGAAUACCCGCUGAACUUAAGCAUAUCAAUAAGCGGAGGA